Molecule: long non-coding RNA, 876 nt
Organism: Octopus sinensis (East Asian common octopus)
Lineage: Eukaryota; Metazoa; Mollusca; Cephalopoda; Octopoda; Octopodidae
Exons: 3
Source: RefSeq, a predicted model, not a curated record
CUUCAAGGGUCUACUUUAAAACAGAAGAUAAAUACUAGGAGUUUUAAAUAUUCACUGAUGACUAAAAAACAAAAAAUAUUUUUGAAAUUCGAAGUGAUUGUUAACUACAUUUUGCUGCUGGCUAAACGUGUGUCAAAACAUUCUAAAGAGGAAAAUGUCUCAGGAAUUUAAGGACAGCUAUGAAUUAAGCAAUUUAAGGAGAUAAAAUCUCAACAACUGAAAACAAAUCUGAAUUUACAGCAGCAUAGUGUUUUUUAACACUGCAUGAUAAGUGUUCCCUUUUGUCUUCAAACCGAUCCAUUUCUCAACUGUAUUGUAACUUGCAAUAAAAAGUGAAUUUUGUACAAUAAAAAAAAAAAACAUUCUGCGCAAUGGUUGGACAAAAAUAAAGUACCGCAAGCCUUCCCUAAACCUGAGCUUUUCAAAAAGAAGGUUAUGGUGACUGUCUGAUGGUGUAUUGUUGGACUCAUCUGCUAAAACCUCUUAAAACCCAGAAAAGCAUUACUGUGGAAACAUAUUGCCAUGAAAUUGCCAAAAUGAACGAAAAACUGCUACUACUCCGUCCCAGACUGGUCAACAGAAGCGGGCCAGUCAUUCUUCAUGACAAUGCUUGACUACACGUUUCUCUAAUGACACUCCAGAAGUUGAGGGAACUUGGCUAUGAAGUUCUUCCCCACCCAGCUUAUUCCCCAGACCUUUCUUCUACGGACUACCACUUUUCCAAGCAUCUUGAUGGUUUCCUACAAGAGGAGUUAAAAAAUCAAACAGAUGCUGAAAGUGCUUUCAAAGAGUUCAUCAGCUCCGGAUUUUUAUGUUGCCAUAAUAAACUAACUUGUAACUCGUUGGCAAAAAUGUGCUGAUUGUAAUGGUACUUAC